This 73-nucleotide transfer RNA is filed under the name Mus musculus (house mouse). RNAcentral's name for it is "tRNA-Ser". Lineage: Eukaryota; Metazoa; Chordata; Mammalia; Rodentia; Muridae. The record is from RNAcentral.
GGAGAGAUGGCUCAGUGGUUAAGAGCACUGACUGCUCUUCCAGAGGUCUUGAGUUCAAUUCCCAGCAACUACA